This 81-nucleotide microRNA precursor is filed under the name Pan paniscus (pygmy chimpanzee). RNAcentral describes it as "miRNA (ENSPPAG00000008637.1)". Lineage: Eukaryota; Metazoa; Chordata; Mammalia; Primates; Hominidae. The record is from RNAcentral.
CCCCGGCACCCUCCCCCCAGCUCACCGGCCUGGGAUUCCUGCCUUCUAGGUAUAGGCCCGGUGAGAGAUUCCACACAGCGG